Molecule: ribosomal RNA, 253 nt
Filed under: uncultured bacterium
Lineage: Bacteria
Description: partial 16S ribosomal RNA
Rfam family: Bacterial small subunit ribosomal RNA
Source: RNAcentral
UACGGAGGGUGCGAGCGUUGUCCGGAAUCAUUGGGCGUAAAGGGCGCGUAGGUGGCCCGGUCAGCGUGCGGUGAAAGCUCGGGGCUCAACCCCAAGUCGGCCGUGCGAACUGCUGGGCUGGAGCACUGUAGAGGCAGGCGGAAUUCCGGGUGUAGCGGUGGAAUGCGUAGAGAUCCGGAAGAACACCGGUGGCGAAGGCGGCCUGCUGGGCAGUGGCUGACACUGAGGCGCGACAGCGUGGGGAGCAAACAGG